Molecule: transfer RNA, 75 nt
Filed under: Hyphomicrobiales bacterium
Lineage: Bacteria; Pseudomonadati; Pseudomonadota; Alphaproteobacteria; Hyphomicrobiales
Also listed under: 1 other name
Description: Rhizobiales bacterium tRNA-Val
Rfam family: tRNA
About the family: Transfer RNA (tRNA) molecules are approximately 80 nucleotides in length. Their secondary structure includes four short double-helical elements and three loops (D, anti-codon, and T loops).
Source: RNAcentral
GGGCGAUUAACUCAGUGGUAGAGUGUCUCGUCGACAUCGAGAAAGUCACAAGUUCGAACCUUGUAUCGCCCACCA